This 68-nucleotide non-coding RNA is filed under the name Noviherbaspirillum massiliense. RNAcentral describes it as "S-adenosyl-L-homocysteine riboswitch". It matches the Rfam family "SAH (S-adenosyl-L-homocysteine) riboswitch aptamer". Lineage: Bacteria; Pseudomonadati; Pseudomonadota; Betaproteobacteria; Burkholderiales; Oxalobacteraceae. The record is from RNAcentral.
CCUCCAAGGAGCGUUGCAGCACGGCCUAGCGCCGUGUCAGGCUUGGAUAUCUCUACAACGGCGCUCAC